GACGAACGCUGGCGGCGUGCCUAAUACAUGCCAGUUGAGCGCUGAAGGUUGGUACUUGUACCGACUGGAUGAGCAGCGAACGGGUGAGUAACGCGUGGGGAAUCUGCCUUUGAGCGGGGGACAACAUUUGGAAACGAAUGCUAAUACCGCAUAAAAACUUUAAACACAAGUUUUAAGUUUGAAAGAUGCAAUUGCAUCACUCAAAGAUGACCCCGCGUUGUAUUAGCUAGUUGGUGAGGUAAAGGCUCACCAAGGCGAUGAUACAUAGCCGACCUGAGAGGGUGAUCGGCCACAUUGGGACUGAGACACGGCCCAAACUCCUACGGGAGGCAGCAGUAGGGAAUCUUCGGCAAUGGACGAAAGUCUGACCGAGCAACGCCGCGUGAGUGAAGAAGGGUUUCGGACCGUAAAACUCUGUUGGUAGAGAAGAACGUUGGUGAGAGUGGAAAGCUCAUCAAGUGACGGUAACUACCCAGAAAGGGACGGCUAACUACGUG
RNAcentral lists this ribosomal RNA (497 nucleotides) under uncultured bacterium. Its description in RNAcentral is "partial 16S ribosomal RNA". It matches the Rfam family "Bacterial small subunit ribosomal RNA", at positions 28 to 507 of the family's 1533-position model. The record is from RNAcentral.